CCUUCCCCAGUCCUCCUCCCCCGUCCUCCCCCACAGAGAGGCGGAAAAAAAGGGAAAGUGGUCUGCAGACAAAGGCUGGCAGGGAAAACGCGGCUGCUCGUCAGAAGAUUUCGGCGGAGAAUGGAGAAGUUCAGACGCAGCAACUGUCACCAGAACGUCCCGACAGAACCAGCUCGUCCAGAAAAUCAGGACAAGUUUCUCAGAGCGAAUGUUCCACAGGGAUAAAAUCAGACAAAUUCAAGUUUCACAGAUGCUCUCCCACCUUAGUUACAUCAGCAUCAGGAUCGCUGCUGUCCACAUCUGCAGACUCACACAAACAUUUCACAUUAAAGGUGAUUUUUCUUUUUCAUUAAAUUCAUUUUUUCACAAUUUUUUCAAAGUAUAAAAACUUUAAAAACAUGUUGUUGUUGUUUUUUCUCUCUUUACAGAUUCAGAUAAUCGUGUCACCUGAUCCGUGAUCCUGGACGUCUUGGAUGGAAAAGUUAAAGACAAGAAAUUAACGUUACAAAAUUAGACAUGAAAAAAAAACAACUUUAGUCUAUACGUCAAUAUAUUUACAUUCAAAAUGCAGUAAAAUCGAUCAAUACAGCUUCAUCUAUUUCUUUAUUUAACCUUUAAAGUACCAGGAAUAUUCACACCGGGAUAUUAAAUCUCUUCUGUGAGAGAAUCCAGGCCGAAAAGUUUUACACAAACAACAAGCAGCAAAAAAUAACUACGGUGGCCCUAAAGGUCAAACCUUACAUAGCUGCAAAAAUUUGUACAAGUGUCAAAAACAAUUCAUAAAACGGAAAAAAAAACAAUUAGCGAUAAUCAAGAAUAUAUCAUGAAAUACAAA
Molecule: non-coding RNA, 835 nt
Organism: Xyrichtys novacula (pearly razorfish)
Lineage: Eukaryota; Metazoa; Chordata; Actinopteri; Labriformes; Labridae
Source: the annotation of a GenBank genome assembly